Molecule: long non-coding RNA, 1694 nt
Filed under: Helianthus annuus (common sunflower)
Lineage: Eukaryota; Viridiplantae; Streptophyta; Magnoliopsida; Asterales; Asteraceae
Description: hypothetical non coding rna
Source: RNAcentral
UUGACGUAAAUGCUGUAUUAAGUUACUAACCUAGUUUGUGUGCAUGUUAUUAGGUGAAAAGAUUAAUCAGUAGUCGAAACUCUGCCCAUAUAAAUCUAAAAUAUUAGCACAAGGUAGCUUCACUUUAAAGUUAUUAAGGUACGGAUCCUUACCCCACUCUUUAUUGCUUCAUAUUCAAAUUGUUAUAAACCACUAAGUUACUAUAUCUUUUAAAAACUCCUCACGUCUUUGAUUAUCGAUUCAUUUGACAGUCCAUUCGAUUCCUAUCCUAAUCAUUUAAUUUAACUUUCAUGUCAUGCGAUAGUAUUAUGUUGUUAUACUCAUUAUCGCAUGUUCCAAUAUAUUUGUGAGGGUUUGAUCUCGUGAAUUGACGUAAAUGCUGUAUUAAGUUACUAACCUAGUUUGUGUGCAUGUUAUUAGGUGAAAAGAUUAAUCAGUAGUCGAAACUCUGCCCAUAUAAAUCUAAAAUAUUAGCACAAGGUAGCUUCACUUUAAAGUUAUUAAGGUACGGAUCCUUACCCCGCUCUUUAUUGCUUCAUAUUCAAAUUGUUAUAAACCACUAAGUUACUAUAUCUUUUAAAAACUCCUCACGUCUUUGAUUAUCGAUUCAUUUGACAGUCCAUUCUAUUCCUAUCCUAAUCAUUUAAUUUAACUUUCAUGUCAUGCGAUAGUAUUAUGUUGUUAUACUCAUUAUCGCAUGUUCCAAUAUAUGUUCCGUUUUGUUAUUAAAAUAAGUUUUAUAAGUUAUGUGAAUAAGACCAUUUGUACUCUGAUACCCUGAGUAUCGCUUCUCGUGGAGUGUCCCACGAGCAUGUUGUUGUGGCAUCAACAUCAUGUGCUCCAUCCGUGACGGAGAGAUCAGUUCACGGCGUCUCUUAAGUACAAGUGUGGUACAUAAGGCUAUUAGGAGGCGUAUGGAUCGAUCCUAGGAUUUAAGUAUAAGGAGGUGGAUAACGGGUAUGCCAAUUCGCCAUCUCAUGUGAUAACUAUACAGGAGUAGCUACCUGUGUAUUGUCGCGUUUUAAGUUUGCUCAUGGGUACAUCCGUAAGAUAUGAUUAUAUGUUCUUGCAUCGUAUCAUUUUCGCAUAAAGUUCCAUCCGGAUAAGAUUUCAUAUAAAGCAUUAUUUGUUAUUUGAGCCUAAAAUUCCGUAUUGAGCAUUCGGCUCAUUCCGUAAACUUUUUGUAUAUAUAGGUCCACAGGUUACUUUGGGAGGGGAAAAGAGAGAAGAAUAAAGUCUAGGAAUAAAUCUGAAGAUGUUAGUUAAUUAAGACAACUGUCUCCGCUUGUAUAAUAAUCUUAAUUUUUAUGGUCGUGUGGUUGUAUCCUUAUCAAAUAAAUAAAUGGAAUUAUGACUUUUGUUUAUGUUACCGUUAUUGUGACACGUCAGCCCUUCCGGGUUGGGGUGUUACAAUACGUCCAUACGUAUAUAUAAUAACAUAGAACAUAUGUAAAUGGUGCGAGAAAGAUUUAAAAAGAUGAAACAAGUCAACAACUGAUGUGUAUAUGCAUGUGUUAUAUGUGUAUGUGUGUGUAUAUAUAGGGAAGGGUGAAAAUGAGAACUAACUUGAGUUGUAAGAACUUGAGAACUUUAUAAUCCAAAGGAUAUUUGAAUUUUUUUUGACGAAAAUCUUUUUUUUUUUUUUUUUUUGAAUGUCCAAAAAAAAAAAAAAUCGUAUGUGACUUCUUACGUGG